AGGUGAUGGUAUGUUAAAAACUUCAGUCUUCACCUCUGAUGAUUUCCUGCAGCCUAGCACCUGGUAUACCUCUCAGUCUCACAUGUCUUCACUCUUUCUCGCGUUAGCGCAAGCAUAACUGCAUUGUCUGUUGAGGUCCCAUCAAAUGCACUUGCUGAAAUAUCUGGCAAAUAUUGCGGGAACAGAAACACAUGCUAACAAACGUUGUGGAGAAUGGAAAGACAAAUACUUGCCAAUUAAUGAUAAAAGAAAUACCUAAUUUGAAGAAGUAAGUGUAGCAUCAGCAUCGUAUACUUAAAUUACUAUCUCUGUCUCGCUCUCUUAAUACAGUGUGUAGUGUUAAUUUACUUCAAUAAUAAUUUACAACUAAUAACUUAACUUUAAUUUAAUAACCACAUGCACUACUAUUUAAGGAAGAACCCAAUUGUAAUUCAGUUAGUCUUAGUCUUAGUCCUAGUCUGCUAGACUAAAUUCUCGAGCACUCAUCAUCUUCAAAUUCUCAACGCUCGACCUCCUUUCGAUCUCCUAUCAGACUCUCAUCCGACUCUCAUUCAAUUCUCUCGACUAUCCCAAUCGAUAAGUCUAUAAUCGCACACACAUCUUGCUCACAUACAUAUUGUGCUUAUCAAUUUCAUCAUUAUUAAUAUUCACUGUCUCUUCCACUCUAACUCAUCUGUUAUUAUUAAGUGUGUUAACACAUACAUUUACAGUUGAGUUUUGUAAAUUGAUUUCUUAUUAUUACAACGCAACAAGUGAAUUACACUUAUUUUCAUAAUCAAGAAGCAGUGAGACCUUGUUUUAUGUACAUUCAAUUAUUCUUUUUUGUAUUUAUUAGGAUGUGUCAAGAUGAACUCAAACAAUGGAACAUUUAAUAUAAUUUCUGUACUUGUUGGAUGGGCUGAAGCAUUCAUAAUGUGUCUCCAUAUCUUGUUAUGCCAAGCUUAGGACUGAUGUCAUCAUUAAGUCUUAGAUUCAAGCAAGUUCAAGUGGUAUUUCCCUCUUCAUAUUUGAGUGAAAAGACAUCAAGAUCACAUUACAAACAUUGUUCUUUUUUAAUAAGAAUAAUUGUCAUAAAUUGUCUUACAAA
RNAcentral lists this long non-coding RNA (1087 nucleotides) under Amphimedon queenslandica. RNAcentral's name for it is "uncharacterized LOC109593742, transcript variant X1". The record is from RNAcentral. Lineage: Eukaryota; Metazoa; Porifera; Demospongiae; Haplosclerida; Niphatidae.